Molecule: long non-coding RNA, 553 nt
Filed under: Heterocephalus glaber (naked mole-rat)
Lineage: Eukaryota; Metazoa; Chordata; Mammalia; Rodentia; Bathyergidae
Description: lncRNA (ENSHGLG00000033620.1)
Source: RNAcentral
CCCUGAGUCACCCCCGGCGCCCCGCGCCCGUCCGGAAGCCCCGGCCCCUCCCUCUGCCUGCCGGACCGGGGAGGGGCCGGGAACUUUCCGGGCCGCCGCCCCGCCCUCCGCGGCUAAGCCGGGCGCGCGGGGCCGGUCGCGCUGUCUCGCGAGCGGCGCGGGGAACGGAGCUGCGGCCGGAGUCCGGCAGAGCGCGGCCGCUCUGAACCGUCUGUGGCACAUGCGUGGCCCCUUCAGGCGGCACGGGACAGGCCCAUCGACGGGACCGGUGGACUGGUGGUCAUCGUGUCAACACCCAGGUCCCCAAAAGGAAAAAGAGGCAUGGAAGGCGAGGGCAGUAUGGGGCGUGGUGAAUAUCCACUGGCUCAGAGCCUCACUAUGAGUCCAGGCUGGCCUCUCACUCCUGUCAAUUCUCCUGCCUCAGCCUCCUGAGUGCUGGGACUACAAGCAUGCACCACCAUGCCUGGUUUAAUUAAAGAAAAUCUUAAUGGAUGAUUCUGGUCUUAUUGAGAUGAAGUCCCUAUUUUAAUUUUUGCUGUUCAUGUUUAAUUUG